GACUCUGUAGCUCAGUGGUAGAGCGUACGAUUGCAAAUCGUGUUGUCCCGUGUUCGAACCACGGCAGGGUCU
This is a non-coding RNA of Cerrena zonata, 72 nucleotides long. NCBI's taxonomy places the organism in Eukaryota, Fungi, Basidiomycota, Agaricomycetes, Polyporales, Cerrenaceae. The record is from the annotation of a GenBank genome assembly.